UGCGAAGGGGGCUAGCGUUGUUCGGAAUUACUGGGCGUAAAGCGCACGUAGGCGGACUACUAAGUCAGGGGUGAAAUCCCGGGGCUCAACCCCGGAACUGCCUUUGAUACUGGUAGUCUCGAGUCCGGAAGAGGUGAGUGGAAUUCCGAGUGUAGAGGUGAAAUUCGUAGAUAUUCGCAAGAACACCAGUGGCGAAGGCGGCUCACUGGCCCGAUACUGACGCUGAGGUGCGAAAGCGUGGGGAGCAAACAGG
This 253-nucleotide ribosomal RNA is filed under the name uncultured bacterium. Its description in RNAcentral is "partial 16S ribosomal RNA". It matches the Rfam family "Bacterial small subunit ribosomal RNA", at positions 524 to 776 of the family's 1533-position model. The record is from RNAcentral.